GACGAACGCUGGCGGCGUGCUUAACACAUGCAAGUCGAGCGGAAAGGCCCUUUCGGGGGUACUCGAGCGGCGAACGGGUGAAUAACACGUGAGUAAUCUGCCCCUGGCUUUGGGAUAGCCACCGGAAACGGUGAUUAAUACCGGAUACGACCACUUCUCGCAUGGGAUGGUGGUGGAAAGUUUUUCGGCCAGGGAUGUGCUCGCGGCCUAUCAGCUUGAUGGUGAGGUAAUGGCUCACCAUGGCUUCGACGGGUAGCCGGCCUGAGGGGGUGACCGGUCACACUGGGACUGAGUCACGGCCCAGACUCCUACGGGAGGCAGCAGUGGGGAAUAUUGGACAAUGGGCGGAAGCCUGAUCCAGCAACGCCGCGUGAGGGAUGACGGCCUUCGGGUUGUAAACCUCUUUCAGCAGGGACGAAGCGCAAGUGACGGUACCUGCAGAAGAAGCACCGGCCAACUACGUGCCAGCCGCCGCAGUAA
This 480-nucleotide ribosomal RNA is filed under the name uncultured bacterium. RNAcentral's name for it is "partial 16S ribosomal RNA". It matches the Rfam family "Bacterial small subunit ribosomal RNA", at positions 28 to 523 of the family's 1533-position model. The record is from RNAcentral.